This 110-nucleotide non-coding RNA is filed under the name Rhodanobacter spathiphylli. RNAcentral's name for it is "Rhodanobacter sp. Glycine sequence". It matches the Rfam family "Glycine riboswitch aptamer". Rfam says of the family: This family represents the bacterial glycine riboswitch. The record is from RNAcentral. Lineage: Bacteria; Pseudomonadati; Pseudomonadota; Gammaproteobacteria; Lysobacterales; Rhodanobacteraceae.
AUUCAAAACUCUGGAGAGACCGGACCGUUGCACACGACGGCGACCGGCGCCGAAGGGGCAAGAGGCGCAAGGCCUCCCAAACUCUCAGGCAGAAGGACAGAGGGGCGCAA